Molecule: ribosomal RNA, 243 nt
Filed under: uncultured Actinomycetales bacterium
Lineage: Bacteria; Bacillati; Actinomycetota; Actinomycetes; Actinomycetales
Description: partial 16S ribosomal RNA
Rfam family: Bacterial small subunit ribosomal RNA
Source: RNAcentral
UACUCGAGUGGCGAACGGGUGAGUAACACGUGGGUGAUCUGCCUUGCACUCUGGGAUAAGCUUGGGAAACUGGGUCUAAUACCGGAUAGGAACCGUCUUUAGUGUGGUGGUUGGAAAGUUUUUUCGGUGCAAGAUGAGCUCGCGGCCUAUCAGCUUGUUGGUGGGGUAAUGGCCUACCAAGGCGUCGACGGGUAGCCGGCCUGAGAGGGUGUACGGCCACAUUGGGACCGAGAUACGGCCCAG